GACGAACGCGGGCGGCGUGCUUAACACAUGCAAGUCGAGCGAUGAAGUUUCUUCGGAAAUGGAUUAGCGGCGAACGGGUGAGGAACACGUGAAGAAUCUGCCCUCCACUUUGGGAUAACACCGGGAAACCGGUGCUAAUACCGAAUAUUGAAACAUAAGUGGCAUCACUGAGUUUUGAAAGAAUUUCGGUGGAGGAUGACUUCGCGGCCUAUCAGCUAGUUGGUGAGGUAAUGGCUCACCAAGGCAACGACGGGUAGCCGGCGUGAGAGGGCGACCGGCCACACUGGGACUGAGACACGGCCCAGACUCCUACGGGAGGCAGCAGUGGGGAAUAUUGGGCAAUGGAGGAAACUCUGACCCAGCGACGCCGCGUGCGGGAUGAAGGCCUUCGGGUUGUAAACCGCUUUCAGUAGGGAAGAAGCGAAAGUGACGGUACCUACAAAAGAAGCACCGGCUAACUAUGUGCCAGCAGCCGCGGUAAUACAUAGGGUGCAAGCGUUGUCCGGAAUUAUUGGGCGUAAAGAGCUCGUAGGUCGUUUGUUACGUCGGAUGUGAAAACCUGAGGCUCAACCUCAGGCCUGCAUUCGAUACGGGCAAACUAGAGUUUGGUAGGGGAGACUGGAAUUCCUGGUGUAGCGGUGGAAUGCGCAGAUAUCAGGAGGAACACCAAUGGCG
Molecule: ribosomal RNA, 675 nt
Filed under: Candidatus Nanopelagicus sp.
Lineage: Bacteria; Bacillati; Actinomycetota; Actinomycetes; Candidatus Nanopelagicales; Candidatus Nanopelagicaceae
Description: bacterial SSU rRNA
Rfam family: Bacterial small subunit ribosomal RNA
Source: RNAcentral